Molecule: ribosomal RNA, 460 nt
Filed under: uncultured bacterium
Lineage: Bacteria
Description: partial 16S ribosomal RNA
Rfam family: Bacterial small subunit ribosomal RNA
Source: RNAcentral
CCUACGGGUGGCAGCAGUGGGGAAUAUUGGACAAUGGCCGGAAGCCUGAACCAGCCAUGCCGCGUGAAGGUAGAUGCCCUUUGGGCGGUAAAGUUCUUUUGUCCGGGAGCAAAAAUACUCACGUUGGGCCAGACUAGAUUACCGUCCUAAUCAGCAUCGGCUCAAUCCGUGCCAGCAGCCGCGGGCAUACGGGGGAUGCAAGGGUUAACCGGAGUUAUAGGGGUUGAAGGGUGCGUAGGCUGGGAGGUAAGGCAGUGGGGGAAUGCCCCCGGUCAAGGGGGGGAAGUGCCAUUGAUACUGGCUGGCUGGAAUGCGGAUGAGGUGGGAGGAAUGUGUGGUGUAGCGGUGAAAUGCAUAGAUAUCACAAAGAACACCGAUUGCGAAGGCAUCUCACGAAGCCGUGAUUGACGUUGAUGCACGAAAGCGUGGGUAUCAAACAGGAUUAGAUACCCGAUUAGUC